GUUGAUGAUGAUAACCCGGAAUAGGAAGUGCCGUCAGAUGCGAGAACUGACGAUAACCUCCUUCUUUAUCUGAUA
Molecule: small nucleolar RNA, 75 nt
Filed under: Cuculus canorus (common cuckoo)
Lineage: Eukaryota; Metazoa; Chordata; Aves; Cuculiformes; Cuculidae
Description: Small nucleolar RNA SNORD49
Rfam family: Small nucleolar RNA SNORD49
About the family: U49 belongs to the C/D class of snoRNA which contain the C (UGAUGA) and D (CUGA) box motifs. Most of the members of the box C/D family function in directing site-specific 2'-O-methylation of substrate RNAs.
Source: Rfam by way of RNAcentral